Molecule: ribosomal RNA, 465 nt
Filed under: uncultured Pseudomonadota bacterium
Lineage: Bacteria; Pseudomonadati; Pseudomonadota
Description: bacterial SSU rRNA
Rfam family: Bacterial small subunit ribosomal RNA
Source: RNAcentral
CCUACGGGGGGCUGCAGUGGGGAAUAUUGCGCAAUGGGCGAAAGCCUGACGCAGCAACGCCGCGUGUGUGAUGAAGGCCCUCGGGUCGUAAAACACUGUCAGGAGGAAAGAAGGCUUCGUCGAGUAACUGCGGCGGAGCUGACGGUACCUCCGGAGGAAGCACCGGCUAACUACGUGCCAGCAGCCGCGGUAAUACGUAGGGUGCAAGCGUUGUUCGGAAUCACUGGGCGUAAAGGGCGCGUAGGCUGCUCGCCAAGUCAGGUGUGAAAUCCCGUGGCUUAACUGCGGAACUGCGCCUGAAACUGGUGGGCUUGAGUACGGGAGAGGGUAGCGGAAUUCCGAGUGUAGAGGUGAAAUUCGUAGAUAUUCGGAGGAACACCGGUGGCGAAGGCGGCUACCUGGACCGAUACUGACGCUGAGGCGCGAAAGCGUGGGGAGCAAACAGGAUUAGAUACCCCUGUAGUC